This 616-nucleotide ribosomal RNA is filed under the name uncultured bacterium. Its description in RNAcentral is "bacterial SSU rRNA". It matches the Rfam family "Bacterial small subunit ribosomal RNA", at positions 338 to 947 of the family's 1533-position model. The record is from RNAcentral.
CCUACGGGAGGCGGCAGUGGGGAAUUUUGGACAAUGGGCGAAAGCCUGAUCCAGCAAUGCCGCGUGCAGGAAGAAGGCCUUCGGGUUGUAAACUGCUUUUGUACGGAACGAAACGGUCUGCUUUAAUACAGUGGGCUAAUGACGGUACCGUAAGAAUAAGCACCGGCUAACUACGUGCCAGCAGCCGCGGUAAUACGUAGGGUGCGAGCGUUAAUCGGAAUUACUGGGCGUAAAGCGUGCGCAGGCGGUUAUAUAAGACAGUUGUGAAAUCCCCGGGCUCAACCUGGGAAUUGCAUCUGUGACUGUAUAGCUAGAGUACGGUAGAGGGGGAUGGAAUUCCGCGUGUAGCAGUGAAAUGCGUAGAUAUGCGGAGGAACACCGAUGGCGAAGGCAAUCCCCUGGACCUGUACUGACGCUCAUGCACGAAAGCGUGGGGAGCAAACAGGAUUAGAUACCCUGGUAGUCCACGCCCUAAACGAUGUCAACUGGUUGUUGGGUGCAUUAGUACUCAGUAACGAAGCUAACGCGUGAAGUUGACCGCCUGGGGAGUAGGCCGCAAGGUUGAAACUUCAAAGGAAUUGACGGNNGNGAGNGCGAGACGACGACGAGGAGGAGG